RNAcentral lists this ribosomal RNA (1396 nucleotides) under uncultured bacterium. Its description in RNAcentral is "16S ribosomal RNA". It matches the Rfam family "Bacterial small subunit ribosomal RNA". The record is from RNAcentral.
UUCGCCCUUAGAGUUUGAUCCUGGCUCAGGAUGAACGCUGGCGGCGUGCUUAACACAUGCAAGUCGAACGGGAAACUUUUCAUUGAAGCUUCGGCAGAUUUGGUCUGUUUCUAGUGGCGGACGGGUGAGUAACGCGUGGGUAACCUGCCUUAUACAGGGGGAUAACAACCAGAAAUGGUUGCUAAUACCGCAUAAGCGCACAGGACCGCAUGGUCCGGUGUGAAAAACUCCGGUGGUAUAAGAUGGACCCGCGUUGGAUUAGCUAGUUGGCAGGGUAACGGCCUACCAAGGCGACGAUCCAUAGCCGGCCUGAGAGGGUGAACGGCCACAUUGGGACUGAGACACGGCCCAGACUCCUACGGGAGGCAGCAGUGGGGAAUAUUGCACAAUGGGGGAAACCCUGAUGCAGCGACGCCGCGUGAAGGAAGAAGUAUCUCGGUAUGUAAACUUCUAUCAGCAGGGAAGAUAAUGACGGUACCCAACAAGGAAGUGACGGCUAACUACGUGCCAGCAGCCGCGGUAAAACGUAGGUCACAAGCGUUGUCCGGAAUUACUGGGUGUAAAGGGAGCGCAGGCGGGAAGACAAGUUGGAAGUGAAAUCUAUGGGCUCAACCCAUAAACUGCUUUCAAAACUGUUUUUCUUGAGUAGUGCAGAGGUAGGCGGAAUUCCCGGUGUAGCGGUGGAAUGCGUAGAUAUCGGGAGGAACACCAGUGGCGAAGGCGGCCUACUGGGCUUUAACUGACGCUGAGGCACGAAAGUGUGGGUAGCAAACAGGAUUAGAUACCCUGGUAGUCCACACUGUAAACGAUGAUUACUAGGUGUGGGGGGUCUUAACCCCCUCCGUGCCGGAGUUAACACAAUAAGUAAUCCACCUGGGGAGUACGACCGCAAGGUUGAAACUCAAAGGAAUUGACGGGGGCCCGCACAAGCAGUGGAGUAUGUGGUUUAAUUCGACGCAACGCGAAGAACCUUACCAGGUCUUGACAUCCAACUAACGAAGCAGAGAUGCAUUAGGUGCCCUUCGGGGAAAGUUGAGACAGGUGGUGCAUGGUUGUCGUCAGCUCGUGUCGUGAGAUGUUGGGUUAAGUCCCGCAACGAGCGCAACCCUUGUGAUUAGUUGCUACGCAAGAGCACUCUAAUCAGACUGCCGUUGACAAAACGGAGGAAGGUGGGGACGACGUCAAAUCAUCAUGCCCUUUAUGACCUGGGCUACACACGUACUACAAUGGUCGUUAACAGGGGGAAGCAAUACCGCGAGGUGGAGCAAAACCCUAAAAACGGUCUCAGUUCAGAUUGUAGGCUGCAACUCGCCUACAUGAAGUUGGAAUUGCUAGUAAUCGCGGAUCAGCAUGCCGCGGUGAAUACGUUCCCGGGCCUUGUACUCACCGCCCGUCA